GAGAUACCAAAGUGAUGCAUCCAAAUUGACUGAAAUAUUUUUCGAUAUGUUUCUCAUUCGUGUUUUGAUCGUAAUUGUAAACGUAUAGAAUGGUAGAGGGUUUCUUCAGAUGCGUUGGAACCUAUCAUUGGUCCAGUAGGAUAAUUUCGAACGGUUUGAAUGUACUGAUUGUGGAUUCUAUGCGGUCUUUUUUCCUGCACUUCUUUGACUGAUGAAGUACAAUAAAACUCGACGAAACCGUAACCUACCGAUCUGUGAAGAAUAUUUUGAGUGCGUAAGUGAAUUAGAAAAUUAUCAGAAGACCGGUGAUCGCCGAUCGAGGCGACGCAAACGCAAAGAUUUGGCGUUACAAAAACAACGAAAAGCGAUAACUAGUGACAUUUGCAAAACACAUUCACGUAAUUCACACUUGUUACAUCAACGCAUAUAGCGGAAACACUGUAAUCUGUGUACAAUACAAACUUUGGAGGCAAGUUCUAUCUAGCAAUGAUGAAUUCAUUCGGCUAUAUACGUAACGUACCUAUCUACCUGCAAACUGAUAACAUUGUGUUCAUUUCCUGUGUCGAGGAGGAGGAGUAGGCCUACGACCUGAACUCGCAGAAGAAGACGCCGUGGCAAAUGAUGUAGGCCUAGAGCUAGGUUGAAGAUUUGUCAUCGUCGGCUGUGUCUGAAGACUUGGAUACAACGGUUGCUGUUGAAUAGGAAUGCUGACGAAAUCUAAAUAUACCAAAAAAAAAAAAAAAUCAUUCGAAAGAAUAAUAAAAUCGAAUGAAUAUGAGUACCUAUUUUAUACGAUAAUAAGUCCAUAUUUACGUGGAUUGUAGGGAGACUGAUGUAGAUCCUGCGCAGGAAGACUAGGAGCAGUUAGAUUAAUUGGAUUUUUUCCAGCGUUCAUGGUCGAGUUAUAGCUCGAAGCUCUUGAUGGCGAGUUUUUCGUAAUGCUUGAGUUCUUUACUGAGUUGGAUCUGGAAUAAUUUACUGCUGGUUUUGUACUAUUCUGCGUUACUGUUCCGGUAUGAGGCUUGGUACACUUUUCCAAAUCAUCUCCCAGGUAUUUUGCUACCGUAAUGGUGCAGUUAUUUAUAGUGUGAUUAUCAGCCACUGAAAACAAUGCAAAAAUGAAGUAGACAUGUUUGUGUUUGAUUAGAUUUGAAAAGAAGAUUCUUACAGCAUAUAUUAUCUACGGCGUCGUAAUCGUCGAACUGCAACUCCAUGAAUUUAAUAUCUUCUGGUCGUUUGACUUUACGAGAUACCAUAGUAAUGUCUCCAAAUUGACUGAAAUAUUCUUCGAUGUUUUCCUCGUCCACACAAUCGUUGUAAUUUGAAACGUAAAGAACGGUGGUGGGUUUCUUCAGAUGAUUUGGGAACUUUCAAGAGGAUGUAAUGUAUUAGUAGGUAUAGUUUGAGAUAUUGAAUUUUUCAUUCAUUCCUGAUGGAAUAUUUCUUUUGAAGAAAAAUAUCGUUCCUAUUUCAUAAUUUCACUUACUUCUUUUGGAUAAGUUCUAACCGUCUGAACUUCCUGAUCGUUUAUUUUAUGCGGUCUUUUUUCCUGUACUUCUUCAACCGAUGCUGAGCUUUGAAAUUCCACGAAACCGUAACCUUUGGAUCUGUAUCAUACACAUAUAUCUCAUAAUGAAAAUAAGUAAGUGUGUAAGUAGGUAUUAUUAGUGGAAGAAAGCUAACGUAAGAACGAUUAGAAAAUUGAUAGUCACUAAUAACUUAUUCAAUAGGUAUCGUUUUCACAAAAUUCACCAAAGUGAAAAUACAAAGCGGAUGAAUUUUUAUAUUCUCGUAUCUCCGAGAAUCGAAUUUUCAAAGUAUACAUAUUUCUAAGAAAUGAAUUUAAUAAAUCCUUUUGAAUGAAGAAUAGAUUCUCUUGGCGUUGGCGUCGCGUUUUCUCGAUUCGCAACCAUCAUUUCUUACCGUCCUUACUUGAGAAAAUGAGAAGUAAUGAGAAGUAAUCAGUAAGCCUACUUUUUGUUUUCAUCAUAAACGAUGAAAGCAGUUACCACUGAACCGUAUUUCUCGAAGUACUCUUUCAAUUGCUGAUUUGUCGUGCUUGUAUUCACAUUACCAACGUAUAAUACUCUCAGAUGUUGCGGUUCUUUUUUCUGAAACUGAAAGAUUAAUGAUAUUUUUAUUUAAGCCUAUUCAAUUUUUUUUACAGCAGUACCUAUACUUACAUUUUUGGGUAUGUUUUGUUUCUUCUUUUUAGGAGAGACGUGUUUACAAGUUGCAAUUUUACCAUUUAUCAGAUGGUUCCUAUCUUGAAUUACUCGAUUGGCACUCGCAGGAUCGGUGAAAUUUAUAAACGCGUAACCUUUAGAACUGCACAACCAAUUGACGUACAUACUCAUCAGUAUCAUCAAUUCAAUCAUGUACGUAACGUAGGUAGAUGAUUUUUAUAAAAAUUUAUCACAUAUAUGAAAUCAAAAUAGCAGCUUACCGGCCAUUCAAAUCUCGAACAAUUUUUCCACUUGUUACGCCGGUGUAUUUUUUUUGAAAAUAUGAUAUUAAAUCGACAUCUGACGUGGUUGGGUCGAGAUUGGUAAUGAAAGCACUAUUUUUCGUUGAUUGAUUUGACUGAAAUGCAGUGUACAUAUUGAUAAGGAGGAUAGAUAUUUUUUAGUUCUGACUGCGAAUCAAAUAGAAAAUGUGGUUACCUACCAUUUCAGCGAAUGUUUUUGCGUUGAGCAGAUGAUGUUUAUACGAGUAUUGUUAUUUUUAAACAGAAUUUGGCGUCGAAAACAACAGAAAGUGAUAACGUGAGACAUUUACCGCGACCUUCAAGAAUUUCACUGUGCAUACAAAGUUGCAGAGAUUGAAAAUAGUACUAUUCCGAUCUUUCUGGACUCGUAUACUGUUUUUCUAUACGCUAUACGCGUGUAGCCGGUAGAUUGGACUGCAGAAAGCAGUAGCGAUCAUUUGUUUAUGUAUGACGUCUGUAUUAUAGCACGUCGUGCGUUCCCUUCUCCCCUGACUUCCGACUUGGACUGAAUGGUGUCGCCAUUUUGCGUUAAAAUUCAUUCUCCGUCUACUGUUUGCAUACUGCUCACUGUUCAGUUUGCAUAUCGAUAUGCAUCGAGUGACCGAGACUAGUCUAUAAUAUGUUAUGAAAAGAAUUUCAGUAUUUCUAGGCUUUCUACUCUACCUCAACCUGUACCUAUACCGGCAGAGUAUGGGGUAAUAAAUGAGCACGCUGCACGCUGCUGUCGUUGGAUCAUCGAAGAAAUACAAGAAUACAAAAUUUAAAAACUUAUUAUAAUACACUAUAAUAUUAUCAACUCGUUAGAUAAAUCGUAUAAAAACAAUCGCAACAAGUAUGUUAUUCAAAUACCUAAACGUACAAGGUUACAACGAAAGUGAAAAAUGUUACGACUAAAUAUCAUAAUAGAUCCAUCACGGAGACGGGGCUGCGAGAAGAAGAGCACAACCUGCCAUACAAAUCCCUUGAGCUUCAGAACAAAGACUCAAAGCCGCAGGAGUUCCAACACCGAAAGUAACUGCAAUAUUAAUAUACUGGGACGUCCUCUUGAAAUUUCAUUUAUCGUGGCUUUAGUAGAUAUUGAAAAAACAAAUUCCAAAUUUAAAUACGAGAGGAGGUACCUAUACAUGCGUAAGAAAACUAAAGAACGAGGUUUUGACGCAAUUGAAUUAGUUUUCAAUUGUUUCCCGAUUGACCAUGCCAAUUAAUGCAGAAAAUAGAUGCCAUGAGAUGAGAUGAAGUAAUACGAGUGAAUUCGAUUCGAUCAAUCACAGGCCUUACAGAUACAUCAAUUUCAACGAAAUGGUUUUCAAUCAAAUGAAAAAAUUGCGAUAUUUCACCACACCCGGGGUGAGUUAUUACUGGAAAGUGAAAAUUCAACGGUAUGAUUUUAUUUAUCCUGUAUGGAAGGAUUAAUGGUACAAUUUCAGAAGAUUCGGCGUUCUUUUGAUAGGUAUAGGGUCACGGGUGGUUAGUUGUCAAUAAUUGUUAGUUGUCAAAUUGCGUUUUUAAAAGGAUACAUGAACGCUAUCCACACAAAACCUUCAUAAUAACUUCAUGCUGUACCUACUAAUGUUCCAACAUGCAAAAUUGGCAACAUAGCUUUUUAUUUGGGGAUACAGUUUUGAAAAAAGUGAUUUUACAGGUGCGAAGUUACACAUGUUAAAUUGGAACUUUUCGUUUUUAAACAUCAAAAAUUUGUCAAAAGUAAAUAAAUUAUACAUCAAUUUAAAGGAAAUUUUAUCACGGAUUCAGUAAUCACAUGUUCAUUUACAAAAAAUUUCGAAAUGAAUAAAAUUUUUUGGUACAAAGAUGAAAAACGAGAAGUUGUUAGUUGUCAAAAAAGGGAAUAUUGUUAGUUGUCAAUGAGACAGUUUACCAAAAUAUGCAUCAAAGUGGAAAAAUAUUUCAAGAAAAUUAUCUAUUGCAUUAUUGAAUCAUUUUUUUUCUGCAUUUCAUUCUAUAAAACGAAUAAAAAGUUGAAUUGAUCGAUUUACCUACGCAAAAAAAAUUCAAAGAAUGACCAGUCAAUUUUUAAGUCGUUUAUGGAUAUUUUUUCAAGUUUUUGGGUUUAUCUAAAAGUUUAGUCCUUCUCACAUGUUUUCUUUCUGAAAAUUUUUGAAAAUUGAAUUGUACGUUUUUUUUAUCAAUAGUGAAUGCGUGUUUGACAACUUACAACAGGGGUGGUUGUUAGUUGUCACAAAAAAGUACCUCACUAAAUCCACGAUUAACUAUUCAUCACAUGAACCAAAAUUCAAUUUUAAAAAAAGAAAACACGCGGAAAGAAUCAAGCUUUCAAAUGAGCCUAAAACCGCAAAGAAAUAUUCAUAAAUGGCUUCAGAAACUUCAAAAAUCAUUUUUUUUUGACAACUAACCACCCGUGACCCUACUUAAUCAGAAAGAAUGGUUGAAUCACGCUGAAGUACAAACCACCUGAGCUGCACUGCAGGCCAAUAAUGCAGGAGGAGUUCCAGCACCGGAAGUAACUGCAAUAAUACGGAUUUGGUUAGACUUCUGAUGGCAUUAAAAAUAGAAAAAUAUUUUUCGGUCGAAACUUACCAGUACCUACCGAUUACAGCUCCUGCUGCAGAAAAGCGCGCAGCCGCAACUACGUUGCAGUCGUUUUGGCAAAGCGUGUAAGUAAAUGGACCGGCAAAGGCACCAUUUUUUCUUCGAAAAUUCCGAAAAUCAUGAUCUCAUUUUGGCCUCAAAAUUCAUCGAAACUGUUCAAAAAAGUAUUGAUAGAGGUUUUUGAUUUUCUUUCGAUAUUUUAAUCCAUUUUAAUUUUUAAUUGAUCGUAUCGCACAUUUUGCAAAAGUCUCAAAAAUCAUGACACAAUUUUGAAAGUGAAAAUUUUUCAAAAACGCUCGAAAGAAGUUUCGUUGAAAUACGUAGGUAUAUAGGUAUUUUAAUUUCUCGCGAAAUUUCUAUUCGUUUUGAUAAGUUGCAUGACUUUUGUUCGGAAAUCCCAAAAAAUGACCUGAUUUCGCGGCUCAUAAUU
Planococcus citri (citrus mealybug) is the source of this 5486-nucleotide long non-coding RNA. RefSeq lists it as uncharacterized. The transcript is spliced from 7 exons. Lineage: Eukaryota; Metazoa; Arthropoda; Insecta; Hemiptera; Pseudococcidae. The record is from RefSeq and is a predicted model, not a curated record.